UCAACAUAUAGUGUUAGAACUCUAAGGAAAAUUAAGCAACUUGAAUCAGUAGUAGAGAAGCAAACAUCGCCACUAAUUUAAUUAAGCUUAUAACAAGUUUACAUUUUUCUAGCACAGAGUUUAGAUUUUAUUAAAUAAAAUAAAAUCCAUCUAAUAAUAAUGUGUUAAGACAACCUUAGCUCAACCUCAUGAACUCGACACAGAAAGCCCCACAUGCCCAAUUCCAGACCCGUAUCAAUCAGAAACCGAAUAUGCCAAUCUCCC
Molecule: long non-coding RNA, 264 nt
Filed under: Setaria viridis
Lineage: Eukaryota; Viridiplantae; Streptophyta; Magnoliopsida; Poales; Poaceae
Description: long non-coding RNA (SVIR_LNC003373)
Source: RNAcentral